Long non-coding RNA from Saimiri boliviensis boliviensis (Bolivian squirrel monkey), 1086 nucleotides. RefSeq lists it as uncharacterized. Lineage: Eukaryota; Metazoa; Chordata; Mammalia; Primates; Cebidae. The record is from RefSeq and is a predicted model, not a curated record.
UCACUUGGGGAGUGAGAAAUUGCUUGCUGCUUAGCCGGACCCUAACCACGAUUCCAACUUCAAUCCAGAACGAUUGCUAAAGCUGUUCCAGCACCUAGAGUCAAAUAAAAAUAUCCCGAGGUGGGAAGGAAAACAUUUGUCUAGGGAAACAUUAAAAACAGGAGAGUGUGUGCCUUGGAGCCAGCGCCCGGAGCCCUGCUGAUGUCCCGGGGCAGAAAUAGCCCGUUUCAUCAUCGGCUCUGGACGACCGCCGCCCGCAUUCCUCGAGUAAGGAGCUGUCCUCUGCUGCGCUUUUGGAGCAGAAUAAUAUGCAGCUGGGGGAAGGCCAGGCUGGGUCUCAGGGUGAGAGUUGCAGAUGGAUAUGAAAUAAUCGGGGAAGAGGCAAGGUGACUUGUAGCAGGGUGAACACCUGGUCUUACUUUGGAUGAGGGACACUUUCCAUUUCCCCACUUCAUAAAAGUCCCUGAGGGUUUUCCUGCUGGACUCACAUGAAGAACCUGCGGGGCCAGAAGACUUCCAUGUUUGCGGCCCUAUUCUGGGGCUUCGGCUGUGUUGGAGACCAUCACUGGAUCACAGCAAAGCUAACAUGUGUCUGGGUCUCACCUCGAGCCAACUGCAGUGCCAGAGGCCCUGACACCUAGCCCCCUCUCCUUCCUGACUUACCGAAGCUGCCGGUGGCUGACCCUGAAAACUGGGAGCACAGGAUGCCACCUCAACUUGAAUUAAGUUCCAACAGGACAUAGACUAGGAAACCAGGAAUGCUCACAUUAAUACUACAUAAGGCUUAGCUUCAGAAACAUUUACCUGCUGUGAGCAGAUAUGUCUUCAUGAAAUAUGAAAUCCACCCAAAUUUAUUAAGACUGCCUGUGUAGUAAGUAGUGGGAACUCAAACUGAGCAGCCCUCUGUGAGGGUCUCAUUAUUAUUAUGGCAUUAUUUAUUUAUAUCUUACCCUAAGACAGACAUGAUGUAAUCCAGUAAUUAAGAUUGCUAUGAUUGAAUAUUUAUUAAGCACCUACAAUAAGCCAGCCACUGAUCCACAUAAAAUGAGUCUUUACCCUCAAGAGCUCUUGUCUUGAUGCCACGGG